This is a long non-coding RNA of Lynx canadensis (Canada lynx), 1498 nucleotides long. RefSeq lists it as uncharacterized. The record is from RefSeq and is a predicted model, not a curated record. NCBI's taxonomy places the organism in Eukaryota, Metazoa, Chordata, Mammalia, Carnivora, Felidae. The transcript is spliced from 2 exons.
AGACUUUCUAAACAGUGAACGUUGCACAUUUUGGCAUUUGGCCUGACCCGACAGGCAGCAUUUGUUUCCGAAGGGUGACGCUGAUGUCAGAUGGUGAUCGGGGCUGCAGGAGGAAAGGGUCCAAAAUGCCGAUGCCCCCGGGAGCCAAGCCGGAUGUGGCCCCAUCUCACACUCCAGGCUGUGUGUGCCCCACGUGUGCUGGGGACAAGCAGACAGACCCUGUGGCCGACUUGGCAGGACUCCCGGAGGAACAGGCAGGAUUCAAACACCCUUAGCUUGCUCCAAAGCUCACCUGGGUGCGUUUCCCACUGAGAACAAGAAUCAAGACCAAAGCCUCAGAUGAAACUACAGCCUCUGAGCCUGAAAGGGCUCCUGCUGGGGAACGUAAAAUGAGGCAGCCAGUUUGGAAAACAGAUUGGCGCUUUUUCAUGAAGUCGAACAUACGCUUGCCAUAUCAGCCGCCAGUUCCUGGGUGUUGACCCAAGAGAAAUGAACACACACACCCUCCACGUGAUCUGUACGUGCACGUGGCAAGUGCCGGAAACAACCCAAAGCUACUGAGAAAAUAAUCCCAGGUGUCCGUACGGUGGAAUCCAGCAGAAUGAACUUCCGAGGCAAACAGGAAAGUGGAUGCGUCUCCGAGGCGUCGGGCUGAGGGAGAGAAGCCACACUCAAAAGGCAACGUGCUGUAUAAAUCCCUUUUACGCUGCGUUCUGACACCGGUCAGUAAACGUCUAAACCUUGCCCCUCACCCAGAUUUGGCUCCUCCUUCCAAAAACUCUUUGCCUGGACUGCCCUGCGGAACUGACCUCAUUCCUCUGGGGUGGCGUCACCCCUCCUUCAGCACCCAUUUGCUGCACAGAGUCCCCCGCCAGGCUCAGGGACGGCGAGCCCACCAUCAAAGAGCUCACAGCCUAGAGCAGCAGCGGACAUACAGAUGACAAGUCGCUGUGGACCCUAGACGAGAGGCCCCUCACUCGAGGGAGAGGGAGAGGGUGUCCAGAGCCUUCCUGGAGGUGGUGACUCUGCCCUGAGCCUUCAAACACAAGUGGGAAAGCGUCUAGUCUCUCAGCAUCAGGGAUGACGCUCCCUGUGGGUUUUUUGUCCGAGUUGGGGAGGAUCGCUCCUAUUCCUGUUUUGCUGAGAGCUGUUGUCAUAAGUGGGUGUUGGAUUCUGUCAAAUAUUUUUUCUGCACCUACAAGUAUGAUCGCGUGGUCUUUCUUCUCUAGCCUGACGAUGUGAUGCCGUACAUUUAUUGAUUAUCGAAUGUUGAUCUAGCCUCGCCUGCCUAUGAGUUGGGUUUGAUUUGCUCAUAUUUUGUUAAUCAUUUUGCAUCUAUGUUGGUAAGAAAUAUCGGUCUGAGUUUUCUUUUCUUGUAAUGACUUUGUCUUGGUAGUAGGGUAAUGUGACCUCAUAGAACGUGUUAUAAAGUGUUGUCUCUGCUUCUAUUUUCUGGAACAGAUUGUAGAAAACUGAUAAAGUUUCUUCCUUAAAUGUU